RNAcentral lists this long non-coding RNA (313 nucleotides) under Brassica napus (rape). Its description in RNAcentral is "long non-coding RNA (BNAP_LNC012464)". Lineage: Eukaryota; Viridiplantae; Streptophyta; Magnoliopsida; Brassicales; Brassicaceae. The record is from RNAcentral.
GAUGCAGGAACAUCUGGAGCAGGAGACGAGGAGUAGGAGCUAUCACCGGCCAGUAUUGCCAUUUGAUUUCCGACCGCGCUAUUUUAUUUUCUUUUCUAUUCUAACGUUUUAUGGUCUUAUUUUCUGUUAAUUUUGAACUUAGUUUUUUUUUUUUCUUAAUUAUGAGUUCGUAUUUCUUUUACAUGGUUUCUUCGUUUUAUUUGGUUGUGUUUUGAGUAGUUUUUAAUUCGUAUUCAGUUUUGCCUUGCUAGAUAAACCAAAUAACUAAUAUCCGAGGAAAGAGGUUAUAUCAAGUGUUCCUCGGAAUUUCCUC